This 114-nucleotide small RNA is filed under the name Cedecea neteri. RNAcentral's name for it is "RtT sRNA". It matches the Rfam family "RtT RNA". From Rfam's summary of the family: This family represents a bacterial cis-regulatory element known as RtT RNA. The exact function of RtT is unknown although it is thought that it may be involved in changing the cellular response in relation to amino acid starvation. The record is from RNAcentral. Lineage: Bacteria; Pseudomonadati; Pseudomonadota; Gammaproteobacteria; Enterobacterales; Enterobacteriaceae.
UUGCAUCUGAAGUCAAAGAGGAUGAGAACCUCCGAAGGAGGUUUGAGCCGAGCGCAGCGAGACAACGUUGCUUCAGCAACGGCCCGCAGGGGAAUAAUCCUCUCUCGCCGACCA